Non-coding RNA from Mycena vitilis, 107 nucleotides. Lineage: Eukaryota; Fungi; Basidiomycota; Agaricomycetes; Agaricales; Mycenaceae. The record is from the annotation of a GenBank genome assembly.
GCAUCAGUGGUGUAGCGGUAACAUUGGGUCUUCCCAUCUGUCGCUUAUGUAAGCAAAUUAUGUCAGCGUGAUUGGCCUAGCUCCGGGUUCGACUCCCGGCUGAUGCA